UGUUGGGAAUCUCAGUUAAAAACUCUCCCUGCUCCUUCCCAAGCAGCCCCCAACAGCUCCCACCUUCUUUAUUUUAAAUCAAAUACUGUUCUUGGGGGUCCAGGAUUCAUCCUUUGUGUAUCUGUUCCCAUCCACAGAUGUGGGGAAGGAGCUGCCUUGGAAAUAAACAUCUGGACAUAGACACCCUUCUGUUCCAUCAGCCAGGAGUGCAGGCAAGCACCAGGCCAAGUUCUCCAACCAACACAUUGUCCCACGUCUCUGGAGAGGAGGAGGUGGUGGCUGUAAGUGUUACAGGGAGUCAUGUGGGGAAGGCAGGAGCUCAAAGGCAGCUGCAGAGGAGCAUUGCCUGGAAAGCUGCUCUCAGAGCCUAGAGCAGGUAGGCUGUAUGAAUCCUGGCUGCCAAAACUCAUUCCUUGCCUGGUGACCAUCGGAGGAUUUAAUUUGCCAACAGAUGCCACAAAUACCAAAGCAACCUCCAUCUGCUGCUGUACAGAAUCUGAUCACAGGAAAAACCCAGGAGUCCAUAACUCUGGAGUGGUGAUGCUGGGGUGAAGCAGCUGAAUGAGCAGCCCUCUGUCACAUGCUGGGGAGCUUUGGAAGGGUCCCUCUGAAACUUGUUGGGAUUGAUUUUCCUGCCCGUGCUGCGUUAUUAUUGCCAGACUCCGGACAAGCGCUCCCAGGGAACACAUCUGCCCGGUGGAGUUCAAUCUUUGGAGACUUAAAGCGCUCACUCAAAUGCACCGAACAAGAGGAAUGCUUCAGCUCCAAUCAGCUCCCAUCUUCUUUGGAAAUGCUGGCCUUGAGGUAUCUUUGAGUCUUUGAAAUCAAUCUUUUAUUCAGCCGGGAAUUUCUGAUGGCUUGGAGGUCUGGUCUGUUAAUUCUGUCUAAUGCCCUGUUUAAGUUUGGGGUGUUUCUCUCAGAUGAUUUUCUCCUUUUACUUCACUGAAGGACCAAGAGCAUCCCUCUCUCCCUUCACUACACCCCUGUUCCUUUGUCUCCAAGUGAAAUCAAAAAUGUUUUUUGGACUUAACAAGUAAGUGGGGGGUGGGAUGAUGAAGAAAAUACCCAGAGUGGCACCUAGGUGAGAUCUUGUGGAGUUUUCCAAAGCCAGAUUAAUACAGCUUGAUCUCUAGGAUCAGGAGUGCAGAUGUCACUGCAGGGAUCCCUGUGCUGUCGAAGCUUUUCAUCACUCCUGCAUCACCUGAGGGUUUCUCAUUGGUUUAUCAGUAGCACUACCACAGCUGAGGAAGAGGAGAGGGGGAAAUCAGGGAACGAAGGAGGCAAAGCCCUGAAGUCCUGUACCCACCAGGAUGGGAACAGCGUGCAAUAACUGGGCUGUCCAGUUUUGUCUGCUUUCCUCUGGAUCAUUUGGACCAAGAUUUGGAUCAUAGAAUAACUGUGUAACAUCUUCCAUAGAGGGCUAGCAUGAACCAGAAAUUACAAGACUGGGAGCCGUUUUAUUAAAAAAUUGUGAUUUCUUCUUCCCUGGAGCCUGGGCUGAGAGCUGAACA
This is a long non-coding RNA of Zonotrichia leucophrys gambelii, 1511 nucleotides long. RefSeq lists it as uncharacterized. The record is from RefSeq and is a predicted model, not a curated record. Lineage: Eukaryota; Metazoa; Chordata; Aves; Passeriformes; Passerellidae. The transcript has 8 exons.